UCCUCGGUAGUAUAUCGGCUAGUACACCCGCCUGUCAUCCAGAUGCGUAGCUUAUCUACCGCGGGAGAGCGGGGUUCGACUCCCCGCCGAGGAG
Molecule: transfer RNA, 94 nt
Filed under: Schizophyllum commune
Lineage: Eukaryota; Fungi; Basidiomycota; Agaricomycetes; Agaricales; Schizophyllaceae
Also listed under: 1 other name
Description: tRNA-Asp
Rfam family: tRNA
About the family: Transfer RNA (tRNA) molecules are approximately 80 nucleotides in length. Their secondary structure includes four short double-helical elements and three loops (D, anti-codon, and T loops).
Source: RNAcentral